This 515-nucleotide ribosomal RNA is filed under the name uncultured bacterium. Its description in RNAcentral is "bacterial SSU rRNA". It matches the Rfam family "Bacterial small subunit ribosomal RNA", at positions 15 to 518 of the family's 1533-position model. The record is from RNAcentral.
GAUCAUGGCUCAGGACGAACGCUGGCGGCGUGCCUAACACAUGCAAGUCGAGCGGAGACAUACGACGGAUAGGAAGUUUCGGAUGGAAUUGAAGAUGUAUGUUUAGCGGCGGACGGGUGAGUAACGCGUGAGCAACCUGUCCUUCACAGGGGGAUAACACAGCGAAAGUUGUACUAAUACCGCAUAAGACCACAGUAUCACAUGGUACAGGGGUCAAAGGAGCAAUCCGGUGAAGGGUGGGCUCGCGUCCGAUUAGAUAGUUGGUGAGGUAACGGCCCACCAAGUCGACGAUCGGUAGCCGACCUGAGAGGGUGAUCGGCCACAUUGGGACUGAGACACGGCCCAAACUCCUACGGGAGGCAGCAGUGGGGAAUAUUGGGCCAAUGGGGGAAACCCUGACCCAGUAACGCCGCGUGAGGGAAGAAGGUUUUCGGACCGUAAACCUCUGUCCUUGGUGAAGAGUAAGAGACGGUAGCCAAGGAGGAAGCCCCGGCUAACUACGUGCCAGCCGCAGC